GCCACAGUUGACAUCUGUACGCCCCACGUCACGUGAGGUUAGUGUCUGAGCAGGGACUACAAGGAGCCAACAAUCCUGACUUCUGGUCUACCUUUCCCCCAAGUACCCACAGCCUCCCUAAUAUCCAAAUCCUCAUGUAACUUUAUGCAAUGAAACAUAUCAAACUUUACAUAGCAUUGCCCAGCCUGUGCACGUUGAGGUAUUUCAAAGCAAAAAGCAUUAUAAAGUCUUUGUGAACCUCUCCCCACAAGCAUGUAAAGCUUUGGGAACAGGCCAGGAACCACCUGCCUUGGCAUACCAUAGUGCUGUGACCAUUGCAAUUAUAUUUUCCAGAUACAAUUCUUGGGGCAUGCAGUCUGAGAAUGCUUUGCCUCUGAAUGGAGCACAUGGUUUUUGGAUAGGGAAAUGUUGGCCUACAGAUGUAUGAAGGCUAUGGUGUUGGUGGGGGUGCCGUAAUAGGAUAACUUGAGUCUGAAUGUGUGAAGUGAUGUUUCGACUAGAGCUGAUUUUGGAAGUGGUUGUAGCUGGCACUGGGAGAUGAGGAGGCAUGAUGAGGGUGAGAAUAAUUCAAUGUGAAUUUUCAAGAGUUAGGCUCUUGAACUGUAAGAAUGUAAACCUCAGGUCACUUUACUAAGAGGGGUUAUAUUGGGCCAAAUGUCUGCAUCUGCCUCCCACAUUCAUUCACCUGGCCCCACCUGCCUGCCCCCAGGUGCCCUGUAUCUGGCUCAGGGCUGAGAACCACAGCAGCCUGGCACCUACUCCCUAGUCCUGGCCUUGUGGUCUCAUGUGGUCUGGGCUGCUCCCACCACAUCCCGACUCAGGUGAAGUGUGGAUCUGAGCGCACAGCUGCAAAGUACAGGGCCUGGGGCCUUGACCAGGAAGUGCAGGGUAACCACCUUUACUGUUCUUACUUUUAUUGCUACCUCUCCAUUUUAUGUUUAGUCUUUGACACCCUUCUUUGACUUCCCUCCAUGGAAAUGAAGGCUUCCCUUUUCCCCCACUACCUUCUCACCAUGCACUCACAACUUUCCCAUCUCUUAUUCCCCCGAGUUUCGGUCAGAUUAAUUUUUAACAUUUACUUUGGGAGGACUAUAGGAAGGCCAUUCAAAGCUGAGUCAUGUAGUCUACUGUGUUGGUUAUUGAUUUCUGUGUAACAAAUUACCCCAUAAUUUAGCCACUUAAGGCAAUAAGCAUUUAUUAUCUCAAGGUUCUGGCCAGGAGACUAGGUGUGGCUUAGCCGGGGUCUCUGGCCCAGGGUCUGUUGCAAGGCUGCUGUGAAGGCUGCUGGCCAGGGCUGCCAUGUCCCCAGGAUCAGCAGUGGGAGGCUCCCUUUCCAAGCUAACUCAUGUAGGGUUUGCAGGUCCUGUUAGUGAUAGCUUCUCUUUAGAAAGUCUUUUUUUUCCCCUUCAUGCAUAGGCUUGUUUUCUCUAAAUUGCCUGCCCCCUUAUUUAUUUGUAUUGGCUUUUAUCUUCCUUAUUAGAGAUUUUCUUCAGUUAUCUUGUAAUCCGUGAUUGUUUCCUAAUAUUUUAGAGUGGGGAACUGAAACUGCCAUUGCAAAAUUAUGACCAAGACAGUGAAAGAGAUCUGACCUGACUGACUCCAUCUUGCUUCUAACCUCCAAACUGUCCUCAUUCAUUCUUGGGCAUGGGCUGAACUAACUUUGGG
Molecule: long non-coding RNA, 1665 nt
Filed under: Homo sapiens (human)
Lineage: Eukaryota; Metazoa; Chordata; Mammalia; Primates; Hominidae
Description: HSALNT0356135
Source: RNAcentral